Corylus avellana is the source of this 564-nucleotide non-coding RNA. Lineage: Eukaryota; Viridiplantae; Streptophyta; Magnoliopsida; Fagales; Betulaceae. The record is from RefSeq and is a predicted model, not a curated record.
UCCAGAACGUACAUGGUCUGAAAGAAGGUUGGGCAUGGAUUGCAAGGUUCUUGAACACUCUUUCUGCUAAUCGAUAUACGGGUGUUGCUCUGUAUGCAUUCCUGGAAAUGGCAGGCUUUGCUCUCUUCAGAAAAUACAAAUCUCAAUUCAUGACAAUGCUUAGCAUCAUCUCUAACGACUUUCUGGAAGCAUUGAAAGCACGUGAAGAGCCCGGGUUAAGGGCAACCGUCGUCAGGAUCCAAUCCUACAUGGAAGACAAAAGGUUCCUCGAGGAGCCAGAGGGAAGGGUCUGCAAGGUUCUUUGCUAUCAAGUGUUCUGGUGCCGGGAAUGGAGGAUGAAAAUGAUGGGAUUUGAUUUGAUUUUCAAGAACUACAUGUAUAUUAGCCAUUUUUCUGAUUUGAUUUGAGUUUUAAUAAGAGAAUGUGUCGUUUGAAGUUGCAAAGUAUUUUGUAUGUGGACCAAUGUGCUUGUGAAAUUUGUUAAGAAAGGUUGUGUAGAUGAGUCAAAUUGUUUUGAUGAAUGACUCCAGUAUAGAUUCAAUUGAAAUUGUCAGGUUCAACUCA